This 1413-nucleotide ribosomal RNA is filed under the name metagenome. Its description in RNAcentral is "bacterial SSU rRNA". It matches the Rfam family "Bacterial small subunit ribosomal RNA". The record is from RNAcentral.
GCGAGUGGCGAACGGGUGAGUAAUGCAUCGGAACGUACCUUUCAGUGGGGGAUAACGUAGCGAAAGUUACGCUAAUACCGCAUAUUCUGUGAGCAGGAAAGCAGGGGAUCGCAAGACCUUGCGCUGAUGGAGCGGCCGAUGUCAGAUUAGCUAGUUGGUGUGGGUAACGGCCCACCAAGGCGACGAUCUGUAGCGGGUCUUAGAGGAUGAUCCGCCACACUGGAACUGAGACACGGUCCAGACUCCUACGGGAGGCAGCAGUGGGGAAUUUUGGGCAAUGGGCGCAAGCCUGAUCCAGCCAUGCCGCGUGAGUGAAGAAGGCCUUCGGGUUGUAAAGCUCUUUCGGCCGGGAAAAAAUCGCUUGGGUUAAUACCCUGAGUGGAUGAUGGUACCGGAAUAAGAAGCACCGGCUAACUACGUGCCAGCAGCCGCGGUAAUACGUAGGGUGCGAGCGUUAAUCGGAAUUACUGGGCGUAAAGCGUGCGCAGGCGGUUUUGUAAGACAGGCGUGAAAUCCCCGGGCUCAACCUGGGAACUGCGUUUGUGACUGCAAGGCUAGAGUAUGGCAGAGGGGGGUGGGAUUCCACGUGUAGCAGUGAAAUGCGUAGAGAUGUGGAGGAACACCAAUGGCGAAGGCAGCCCCCUGGGCCAAUACUGACGCUCAUGCACGAAAGCGUGGGGAGCAAACAGGAUUAGAUACCCUGGUAGUCCACGCCCUAAACGAUGUCAACUAGGUGUUGGGUGGGUAAAACCAUUUGGUACCGUAGCUAACGCGUGAAGUUGACCGCCUGGGGAGUACGGCCGCAAGGUUAAAACUCAAAGGAAUUGAUGGGGACCCGCACAAGCGGUGGAUGAUGUGGAUUAAUUCGAUGCAACGCGAAAAACCUUACCUACCCUUGACAUGCCAGGAACUUGCCAGAGAUGGCUUGGUGCCCGAAAGGGAGCCUGGACACAGGUGCUGCAUGGCUGUCGUCAGCUCGUGUCGUGAGAUGUUGGGUUAAGUCCCGCAACGAGCGCAACCCUUGUCGUUAAUUGUCAUCAUUUAGUUGGGCACUUUAACGAGACUGCCGGUCACAAACCGGAGGAAGGUGGGGAUGACGUCAAGUCCUCAUGGCCCUUAUGGGUAGGGCUUCACACGUCAUACAAUGGUCGGUACAAAGGGUUGCCAAGCCGCGAGGCGGAGCCAAUCCCAGAAAGCCGAUCGUAGUCCGGAUCGCAGGCUGCAACUCGCCUGCGUGAAGUCGGAAUCGCUAGUAAUCGUGGAUCAGCAUGUCACGGUGAAUACGUUCCCGGGUCUUGUACACACCGCCCGUCACACCAUGGGAGCGGGUUCCGCCAGAAGUAGGUAGCCUAACCGCAAGGAGGGCGCUUACCACGGCGGGGUUCGUGACUGGGGUGAAGUCGUAACAAGGUA